Molecule: unclassified non-coding RNA, 483 nt
Filed under: Hevea brasiliensis (rubber tree)
Lineage: Eukaryota; Viridiplantae; Streptophyta; Magnoliopsida; Malpighiales; Euphorbiaceae
Source: RNAcentral
GUAAAACUUGAACUUUUGGCUGUUUGAAAUUUCUCUAUUUAGAACUUGUAUACGCGCAGACGUUGACUUGCAUCACAUGCGAGUUCCAUUUGAUUUUUUCUUUUUUAACUUUCCUUUUUGUCCGUUAAAUUUAUUUUCUUACAAAGCAAACAGUCCUCCUCUGGGAUAAUUCAGCCUUAAUUUAAUUUACUGGUUGUGCAUUUUAUCAAAUUGAAACUAAAUCAAAGUUCAAACGAAUAUAAUUCUUAAUUUUCAAAGCCCUUGCAAAUCGCAUUUGCUGUACACUGAAAUUUGCUAGAUUUUUAUAUGUUUGUAUUGUAUCAGGUAUGAUUAUUAGUAUUUCAAAUUUUAAUAAAUCUGGCUGUCUAAUUUAUUGAUGUGAUUAUGAUACGUGGAAUAAAUUAUGUUGUAUGCUAAUAACCACCAAAUUACUGCUUUAUUAUGUUGUGUGAUUGCUGAAUGGAGUUUAUUUAAUUAGGAAAU